Molecule: ribosomal RNA, 756 nt
Filed under: Salmonella enterica
Lineage: Bacteria; Pseudomonadati; Pseudomonadota; Gammaproteobacteria; Enterobacterales; Enterobacteriaceae
Also listed under: 1 other name
Description: partial 23S ribosomal RNA
Rfam family: Bacterial large subunit ribosomal RNA
Source: RNAcentral
GGGUUGUGAGGUUAAGCGACUAAGCGUACACGGUGGAUGCCCUGGCAGUCAGAGGCGAUGAAGGGCGUGCUAAUCUGCGAUAAGCGCCGGUAAGGUGAUAUGAACCGUUAUAACCGGCGAUACCCGAAUGGGGAAACCCAGUGUGAUUCGUCACACUAUCAUUAACUGAAUCCAUAGGUUAAUGAGGCGAACCGGGGGAACUGAAACAUCUAAGUACCCCGAGGAAAAGAAAUCAACCGAGAUUCCCCCAGUAGCGGCGAGCGAACGGGGAGGAGCCCAGAGCCUGAAUCAGCAUAUGUGUUAGUGGAAGCGUCUGGAAAGGCGCGCGAUACAGGGUGACAGCCCCGUACACAAAAGCGCAUGUGCUGUGAGCUCGAUGAGUAGGGCGGGACACGUGGUAUCCUGUCUGAAUAUGGGGGGACCAUCCUCCAAGGCUAAAUACUCCUGACUGACCGAUAGUGAACCAGUACCGUGAGGGAAAGGCGAAAAGAACCCCGGCGAGGGGAGUGAAAAAGAACCUGAAACCGUGUACGUACAAGCAGUGGGAGCCCCACCACCAAAGCAUUCUCUGGUGUUGAAGGCCCUGCAAAGCAGAAUCGCGGUGGCGGAGCGUCGUUUGCGACGCCCAACACACAAAACAAGCGGUGAGUGCUUUGGGGUGGGGUGACUGCGUACCUUUUGUAUAAUGGGUCAGCGACUUAUAUUCUGUAGCAAGGUUAACCGAAUAGGGGAGCCGCAGGGAAACCGAGUCUUAAU